Molecule: ribosomal RNA, 449 nt
Filed under: uncultured bacterium
Lineage: Bacteria
Description: partial 16S ribosomal RNA
Rfam family: Bacterial small subunit ribosomal RNA
Source: RNAcentral
AACGAACGCUGGCGGCAGGCCUAACACAUGCAAGUCGAACGCCCUAGCAAUGGGGAGUGGCAGACGGGUGAGUAACACGUGGGAACGUGCCCUUCGGUUCGGAAUAACUCAGGGAAACUUGAGCUAAUACCGGAUACGUGCGAGAGCAGAAAGAUUUAUCGCCGAAGGAUCGGCCCGCGUCCGAUUAGCUAGUUGGUGAGGUAAUGGCUCACCAAGGCGACGAUCGGUAGCUGGUCUGAGAGGAUGACCAGCCACACUGGGACUGAGACACGGCCCAGACUCCUACGGGAGGCAGCAGUGGGGAAUAUUGGACAAUGGGCGCAAGCCUGAUCCAGCCAUGCCGCGUGAGUGAUGAAGGCCCUAGGGUUGUAAAGCUCUUUCGCCAGGGACGAUAAUGACGGUACCUGGAUAAGAAGCCCCGGCUAACUUCGUGCCAGCCGCCGCGGUAA